Molecule: ribosomal RNA, 397 nt
Filed under: uncultured bacterium
Lineage: Bacteria
Description: partial 16S ribosomal RNA
Rfam family: Bacterial small subunit ribosomal RNA
Source: RNAcentral
AUACGUAGGUGGCAAGCGUUGUCCGGAAUUAUUGGGCGUAAAGCGCGCGCAGGCGGUCCUUUAAGUCUGAUGUGAAAGCCCACGGCUCAACCGUGGAGGGUCAUUGGAAACUGGAGGACUUGAGUGCAGAAGAGGAAAGUGGAAUUCCAAGUGUAGCGGUGAAAUGCGUAGAGAUUUGGAGGAACACCAGUGGCGAAGGCGACUUUCUGGUCGGUAACUGACACUGAGGCGCGAAAGCGUGGGGAGCAAACAGGAUUAGAUACCCUGGUAGUCCACGCCGUAAACGAUGAGUGCUAAGUGUUGGGGGGUUUCCGCCCCUCAGUGCUGCAGCUAACGCAUUAAGCACUCCGCCUGGGGAGUACGGUCGCAAGACUGAAACUCAAAUGAAUUGACGGGG